CUUUCUUUUAAUUGAACCAAAUUACUACUGCCUGUCUCACUGUCCCUAGCCGAGCUAGCUGGUCAAUCACCAGAAUGGUUGCGAGUUGACAAGAGAAGAUUCCUGCUUGUUUCCAGGCAUUAAACGUUGCUACCUUAUAACUGAAACAAAAACAUCGAUGGGAGGUCAAAGCUCAAAGAUUGUAACAUGUUGUUGGAAUUCAUCUCACAAGACUGCUGCUCUUGGAGCUCCAUAUGUUGAAAAGGAAGAGAUUGAUAGUGACCUGACAGAUGUGCCCUCUUUUCGUGAAUACACACUAGAACAGCUUAAGAUCGCCACCUCUCACUUCGCUUUGGAAAAUGUUGUAUCUGAACAUGCAGAAACAGCCCCAAAUGUUGUCUAUCAAGGGAAACUGAAGACUCAUAAGAAGAUUGCUAUCAAGCGCUUUUCUGGAACUGCCUGGCCUGAUCCACGCCAAUUCCUGGAACAAGCAAUAUCGAUUGGUCAGCUACGCAGCAAAAGAAUGGCCAAUUUACUCGGCUAUUGUUGUGAAGGCGGCGAGAGGUUACUUGUGGCUGAGUUCAUGCCUAAUGGAACACUAGCCAAACACCUUUUCCACUGGGAAAGACAGCCAAUGAAAUGGACGAUGCGACUAAGGGUUGUCUUAUACAUUUCAGAAGCUCUUGAAUACUGUAGUAACAAAGGACACGCGCUGUAUCAUGAUUUCAAUGCUUACAGAGUUUUAUUUGACGAGGAAUGCAAUCCAAGACUUUCAACAUUUGGGUUAAUGAAGAAUAGUCGGGAUGGGAAAAGUUAUACCACAAAUCUUGCUUUCACCCCUCCUGAGUAUCUACGAACUGGGAGAAUCACAGCAGAGAGUGUAAUUUACAGCUUUGGCACUCUUCUGCUUGAUCUUCUCACCGGAAAGCAUAUUCCUCCUAGACAUGCCCUGGAUUUGAUUCGAGACAGAAACCUUCAGACUCUAACUGAUUCCUGCUUGGAGGGAAAAUUUUCCGACAGUGAUGGCAUAAAUUUAGUACGCCUGGCAUCUCUCUGUCUGCAGCAUGAAGCUCGUGAGCGGCCAAACAUAAAAUCAUUGGUCACUGCGCUGAUAUCUCUCCAGAAAGACACAGAGGUUCCUUCUUAUGUUCUAAUGGGUCUGCCUCAGAGUGGUACUUUUGCGUUACCUCCGUCUCCUUUUGCUGAGGCUUGUUCAAGACAAAAUCUGACUGCUAUGCACGAGAUCUUGGAUAAAAUUGGAUACAAAGACGAUGAAGAUCUUUCGUUUCUGUGGACGGAGCAAAUGCAAGAGGCUAUAAACUCGAAGAAAAAAGGCGACAUUGCAUUUAGAAGGAAAGAAUUUAGUGAAGCCAUUGAGUUUUACACGCAGUUUCUUGAUUUGGGAAUGAGGUCUGCAACAGUCUUUGUGCGGCGCAGUUUAAGUUACCUGAUGAGUAAAAUGGCGAAAGAAGCUUUAGAUGAUGCAAUGAAGGCUCAAGGCAUUUCUCCUGUGUGGUAUGUUGCAUUGUAUCUGCAGUCUGCUGCUCUUGCUAUCCUGGGGAUGGAGAAGGAAUCACAAAUCGCACUUACUGAAGGAUCCAACCUUGAAGCCAAAAUGAUUACAGCUUCCACACAGAAUUAAAGACUGGGUUUUUUAAAAGAUGAAGCUUUGAUUCCAUAAAGGAAAAACAAUUGAAAGACUUCGGGGUGUGCGGACACCAAGUGAAUAUAAUACAAACUCCAUUAACAGAUGAAGAAAGCAAAACAAAGCUUAUAAUGUGUUUUGCAAC
This is an RNA transcript of Capsella rubella, 1769 nucleotides long. It is a transcript of the gene named probable serine/threonine-protein kinase BSK3, with no coding region annotated. The record is from RefSeq and is a predicted model, not a curated record. Lineage: Eukaryota; Viridiplantae; Streptophyta; Magnoliopsida; Brassicales; Brassicaceae. The transcript is spliced from 11 exons.